AUGAACGCUAGCUACAGGCUUAACACAUGCAAGUCGAGGGGCAGCAUGGUCUUAGCUUGCUAAGGCCGAUGGCGACCGGCGCACGGGUGAGUAACACGUAUCCAACCUGCCGUCUACUCUUGGACAGCCUUCUGAAAAGGAAGAUUAAUACAAGAUGGCAUCAUGAGUCCGCAUGUUCACAUGAUUAAAGGUAUUUCGGUUAUCGAUGGGGAUGCGUUCCAUUAGUUUGUUGGCGGGGUAACGGCCCACCAAGACUACGAUGGAUAGGGGUUCUGAGAGGAAGGUCCCCCACAUUGGAACUGAGACACGGUCCAAACUCCUACGGGAGGCAGCAGUGAGGAAUAUUGGUCAAUGGACGAGAGUCUGAACCAGCCAAGUAGCGUGAAGGAUGACUGCCCUAUGGGUUGUAAACUUCUUUUAUAUGGGAAUAAAGUAUUCCACGUGUGGGAUUUUGUAUGUACCAUAUGAAUAAGGAUAGGCUAACUCCGUG
This 490-nucleotide ribosomal RNA is filed under the name uncultured bacterium. RNAcentral's name for it is "bacterial SSU rRNA". It matches the Rfam family "Bacterial small subunit ribosomal RNA", at positions 29 to 507 of the family's 1533-position model. The record is from RNAcentral.